CGUGCCGAGGAGCGCUGCAGCGGGGUGGGACCCCGUCAGGCUCGGUACGGAGCAUCAAACUGCAGUAACGGCGCUCAUCCAUC
Molecule: non-coding RNA, 83 nt
Filed under: Thioalkalivibrio denitrificans
Lineage: Bacteria; Pseudomonadati; Pseudomonadota; Gammaproteobacteria; Chromatiales; Ectothiorhodospiraceae
Description: SAH sequence
Rfam family: SAH (S-adenosyl-L-homocysteine) riboswitch aptamer
Source: Rfam by way of RNAcentral